GAAACACCGAUUCCGAGAUGCCA
This 23-nucleotide non-coding RNA is filed under the name Arabidopsis thaliana (thale cress). Lineage: Eukaryota; Viridiplantae; Streptophyta; Magnoliopsida; Brassicales; Brassicaceae. The record is from RNAcentral.